Molecule: ribosomal RNA, 355 nt
Filed under: uncultured bacterium
Lineage: Bacteria
Description: bacterial SSU rRNA
Rfam family: Bacterial small subunit ribosomal RNA
Source: RNAcentral
UUGAACGCUGGCGGCGUGCCUAACACAUGCAAGUCGAGCGGCAGCGCGGGAGCAAUCCUGGCGGCGAGCGGCGGACGGGUGAGUAACGCUUGGGAAUCUGCCUAUUAGUGGGGGACAACCCGGGGAAACUCGGGCUAAUACCGCAUACGCACUACGGUGGAAAGCCGGGGACCGCAAGGCCUGGCGCUAACAGAUGAGCCCAAGUCGGAUUAGCUAGUUGGUAGGGUAACGGCCUACCAAGGCGACGAUCCGUAACUGGUCUGAGAGGACGACCAGUCACACCGGAACUGAGACACGGUCCGGACUCCUACGGGAGGCAGCAGUGGGGAAUAUUGGACAAUGGGGGGAAACCUCG